GGGCGCUGCAGCAGCCGGGCGGACGCAGGGCUGGCCCUGGCCUGGCUCCGCAGCCGCGGCGGGUCCUGCCCGGCCCGUGCCGCUGGAGGGCAGUGAUCGCAUGCCCGGAGAGGAGAGCACACAGCCCAAAACACACCGCCCAAAGACUGCUUAGAUCGCCUUGACGGAGUAAGAAAUCCCAAAUUCACAAGUACGGUCUAAUGCAGCAGGCAUCAAGCGAUGCUUAGCAGGCCGGAGGCAUUGAAGGAAGUUUUUAAAAAAAGAAUAAGAAAAUGUAUACGACUUUGCAUACUUCCUGUUGGAGCUCAAAUGGAGCUCAAAAUGAGCUGUGUUGUGGACUUUUUUGUUGUUGUUGUUGUUGUUGUUGGAAGGAGUUAGUGCUUCAUGCUUUUAUAAUGCAGCUUCAUAAAUUCAUCUGAUGUAUGCAAAAAUGUCCUAUGAACCCCUUUCAGAGGUGGGGGGCUGAAGUCCAAUUUCUUAGUUUGCAGCUGGCAUCAUCAUCUCUCCUGUGUUUUUACAGAAUUUAACAUAACCUGAGCUCAGUCCAGUGGCUGCCCAAAGGCCCUGUUUCAGCAGAUGUGCCUGGCAGGAGCAGUGGUGCUUUAUUAUGUCAGAUUUCACACUGUUGGCCCACAAUACAAGACAUGUCUUUGACCUCUGGUGCCCACAUUUUCCUCAGGGUGAUAACUCUACAGAAAAUGCUGCAUUCUCUCUGGGUCAUGUGAGAAGCCUCUUUGGCAUGAGCUUGUGAGAGCUGCUGUGGGCAGCAGAAGGUUGCCCAGUUGUUCGCCUGACUUCCAGCUGCGGAUGCUGUACACCUGCAAAAGGUAAUUGCACCUUCAGCUGAGGUGAGUGUUCUUAUUUUGUAUCAAAGCUUAUAUUUUAAAUCAUUUCAUUUGGUAGAUUGUGCUCAAGUUCUAAUGUCAUAGCUUUAAACUGCUCAAUUAGUGACAUGCACUAGUCCUUCUUCCUACAAAAUGAAUGUGAAGAUUUAAUACAGGAGAUGGUUAGGAAAGUGGAAAGUAAGAAAUAAGGUGUUCAGGAAUAACCAAGGAUUAAUGAAAGAGUCCAAGACCUUUAUGCAUGCACAGAAAGGCUGGUGUGAAAGCCUGGCUCCCACAGGACACUCACUGGGGUGUCCUGAGUGUUCCAGCCCAAGGGAGCACCCCAAGUGGGCAUGGAAGACAGCAGGGAUUCACAAGGCAGCACCAUAGCUAAGUGGUGCCUGAAACCACCUCCCAAGGGAUGUUUGAAGUCUGGAUGGUCCUGGACUGCUGGCCAAGCUUUUAUGAUCCACAGUCCAUCAGCAGAGAAAUCAUAAAUAAGUAUCUGUGUGCUCAGCAGCACUUGGAUAUGGGGAUCAGUUUUGUUUACACCGUGAGCUCUGUGAGUGCUCAGUGCUGUGGCUAUGCCACUGCUUUUUAGUUUGGAUUGGUGCACUCCAUUUACUUUGUUCCCUUUUUCUUCAACUUGUUCUUGUGACUGGACCCUGAUUCAGUCUGAAGAGGCAGGAUGUGCAGAGUUUAUGGUCUUUGCUUGCAGGGCAAGAGAGCUGGACUUAUUUCCUUGCUUAGCAUCCUGCUGUAAGAUGCAGGUGAGCCAAUUUCUGCCUCUCUUCCACCAUCCUGCUAAAACCCUGUUACUGCUUGCCUGGAUGAAGCUAUUGGCUUUUUUGCAUGGUGCAGAUGUGCCAGAAAAAUUGCAAGAGGACUGUUGAAAACCCUUUGCUUAUUGGUGUACUUUACCCAUCUGCCAUCUUUGGCAGCUCCUUAGGCCCAUGUGGGCUGAGGUCUGUCUAGAACAGCAGCCUCUGGGUGUCUGGAUCCCAGUUUGGGUGCCAAACAUAUUCCUAUUCCUCAUGAAUGUUUUGCUGAGUUUCUGGGCUGGUGGAAAUCUUGUGUGUUAAGCACUGCUGUGUUAUUGGUAUUCCUGUGGUCAGCCCCUGUGCUUGGGGCCUCUCCAGGCACCCAGGCAAUGGCAAGCCAAACCCAGCAGUGCAGUGCUUUUGUCUUGCUUUAAUUAAUUAGAGUAGGACACAACUAUUAGCAGCGUGUUUUUGUUUCCAUUUGUUCGUUCUGACAGCAACCAAAGGAAGCCAUUAUCUCUGUGAGAGGAUGUUUCAGCAAGUGUUGUGGUAAAUAAAGCUAACAGGAUCAGUGCAAAGGAGAGAUCACAUUCUCUUAAGGACAGCAAUCGAUAAUCAGGCUGUUACAUGCCAAAUCCUUUCCAGAGGCACGAUAGCGAGUUCACACUCAGAUCAGCCUUUAAUCUUGAGGGAUCACUGACCUCUCUACUGGCUGAUAUAUUUCCCACAGUCUACCUGCUCUGUAACACAGGUUUCCCUGUAAGACAUGCAGCAGUUCUUUCAGCGCUUUUGGGCACAAAGAAAAUAAGUUGAUGGCAGCUACCUGUCCAUUUUGGCCAAGACAUUUCUCUAUGGAUCAGGCUAAAGAUGGAAGGCCAGAUCUGGGCUUGAAGCUGGAUAAUGUUUUGCAGCUUUCCCUUCUCCAUGAGCAGCAGCAACGUUGAGCACACCAUAGCGUCCUAGAAACUGUGUGCUCCUCUGGCCCCUAAGGCAGGGAGAGCAGCCUCAGUUUAACUUUCCUGCAGCGCUUGGCUGCAAGCACCAUUAUUAUUGGAAGCAAAAUUACACUGAAGGCCUGUUCUUCAUGCUGACAAAUAAAAUACUUAAGUGAUGUGAUGUUGGUUAAAACAUCUUAACAUUUUUUUGUGCAACCCUGGAGAAAAAUGAUGAGACUUAUACUGCAGGGUGUUCAUUCUUGAGAUCUCCAGUGUUUCCUAUACUCAUUUUAGUGUAAGUCUUUUGAUUUUUGUUGUUUGGUGCAAAGGUGUGGGCAUUAGAUGAGCUACUCAAUUUUAUUUUUAAAAAAACAGGUUUGUAGCCCUCAGGGAUUUGCAGAAAAGUUUGAAAAUCUGAUCAUAAACUUCCGGAAAUCAGAGUGCAAGUAGGAAAAGCUCAAAUGUUUAUAAUUUUCUGUGAAAAACAGAACAAAAUGCCUUGCAGUUUUAAAGUUGUGAUUCUCUGGAGCCUGAUGCAUAAUUUUUGAGUAUUUGGGGUUGGCAGUGCUGGAAAGGAUGCUUUUCUCUCCCCAGAUCAUAUUUUUCUGCUGGGAAUUUUAAUUACCAGCUUUAACUCUUUCUGCAUCUUUUUCUUGGCAGGCCUUCCUGUAGCUGAGGAGCCUCCCCCAUCUCUGGGGGCUUGGAAGGGCAGCCAGAGGUGGUGACAGUGGCCAGGAUUCCCCCAGUGGCAGAGGCUGGACUGCCCUGCCUGGUUGUGUCUGGCCACAUCCUUCAGACCUGUUGGGCAGCAAAACCUCUCCAAAGUCUUGCAGCCCACUGUCCUGCUGGGGAAGAUCCAGGGAGCUCACCAGGGGCAGAAGCACCCCUUGUCCCCCUCUCAGUUGCAGCCAGGGUGUGAACAGCUUGGUUUGGAAGGUUAUUUCCCACCUGCAAAGCUUGCUGUAGGGAUGUGAUCUUCCCUGAGGACUCAGGAAGAACAGGGACUCUUUCCUCCAGGGGCUUGUUUGCAUGGCUGGUGACUCCUGUGAGCAGGGCCCCAGUGUGAUCCUGCUCUCAGCAGGGCACAGAAAGGCACAGUGCAUUCCCAGAAAUCCUGCAGGGAUACAGCAACACUGCUGGGCUCUUCCCUCUGCUUCUCCCUUCCCAAGCCACCUCCCCUGGGCACUACUCUUUCAUAUUUUUAGAAAACACAGUUGAUGUUUUUCAGCGCUGGCUUUGCACGUCAGCAGCCAUUGCACAACGAGCUCUCAGGGGCCAUUUAUUUCACAAGCCAGGGUCGUACCCUGUGACAGUGCUUUCCGUCACCUCCUCAAGAGCACUCUGGGCUCGAGUUGCUUCAAAAUGGCAGCUAUUGUUCAGUGUCCCAUGCCCUGCUUGAAACCAGGCCUCCCCCAGACACAUUUCAAUAGUUCUUCUCUGUGAUCUAUUUAUCCCCACGUGCUUUCAGGGAGAGUGGGGAAGGGCUUAUUCCUCUUUUAGGGACCAAUGCACCAACAUGCUGCAAGCAGCCCCUUUCUCUGCCUCCCAGCUUUCUGAGCUAGUCCUAAUUUAAUCUAGCGUAAGCCCCUUGCAGAGUUGGAGGAUCUGGAGGCUGGCUGUGCUCACUUUAACAAGGUCUAUGCUGGAUGGGCAUGAACCAGCCCAUCCUUUACAGAAUGAUGCCUGCAAAAAGGGAAGUUAUUAUUUGAAUUUAUUAAAAAAAUAAAAAUAUCAGCCCUCUGGAUAAAGGAGGGCAACAAUGAGCAGCACUUUGUUUUACAGCUAGAGGGUGACUGUGAAGACUAGGGGAGAAAUUUGUUAAUUCCCUUUGGUAAGAGAAUUGGCAAGACAAGUAAAAAACUUCAGAGGCUACAGGCUGGCUGGGCAAAGUCCGGAUGCCCUCCCUCAUUGGCUGGGCUUGGAUACUCUGUAUGUUAAUAUGGUGAACACUUAUUUACAUUAUAUAUCCAUCAUUUCGCACAAAAAUAUCUUAUUACACAGAGCUUGUUUCUCCACCCCUCUAUUGUAAGCACCUGUGCAUUGUGUGGGUCCUGUGGAACCAACCUUAGCUAACCCAUGCCACCUCUAACUAAUCUUUCAGGGCUCUGACUAUUUUCACAUUUUCCUAGUUGGGCUAAGUGCCAUUCCAAAUUGUCAGCCUGGUGCCACCUACACUGAUUUAUAUUCCCUGAGAAAUACAGCUGUAACUAUCUCAAUUACAAGAGACCGCGAAACUAUAAAUGUCUCCAAAGUUGUGAAGAAUGCCCCAGUCGUGGACCACAACAAUCCUGCCUCCCUAAAUUUUUUUCCAUAAUAUUUUCCUGAAUUUGCCUGCAUCUGAUACUUCAGCUGAAAUGAUGUAUUCCAUUCCAUAUGUACUUCCAGCAUGUGCACAUCUGCAUGGCACACUAUCUGCUUCCCCAUGAUGCCCUCACUUCCAGACUGUACCAGGACUCUUUUCUCCCACUAAAGCUUCUCCCUAGGCAAAGACCUUUUUUGGUUUUCCUGUUCAUCCCUAUAUUUGUUCAUCCAGUUUGAAAUAAGCUCCCCAUAACCCGGGAUGUUAUUCGUGUUUGUUUUGGGCUGGUUCAGGGUUUUGCUAGCAAAGAAGGCACAAUUCUUGCAGGUUCUUAGGACAAUGUACUUUAUUUCAGGCACAAGCAAACCAAUUGUACAUAGCAUGUGCAACACUGCAUUCACCCACAGAGGUAUAAAGGGUAAUGAUAAUGUUGCCCAGAAGGCUAACACAUCAAAGGCCAAGGAGCAGUUAAAAUGUAUUAUGAGCUGUUGGCAGUGAUUGUGGGGGGUAUUUGUGUGUUGCUGAUUUGGACGGCCGGAGUAAAUGAAAACCCUCUGGAUUAAUUGGUACACCAAAGAGAUUUGGAGGAAAAUGGAGGCUGAUGGAAAAUGACAAACACGGGAAAAUACAGAUAGCUGGGGGUGCUGACCUGCUGUGGAAGAUUGUUGAUUAACUUGCAGCUCCCUACUGUGCUCUGGAAAGCCAGGCAGAACUGGGGGUGUGCUCCGCCAGCAUCUCACCCAGCACUUUGGUGGGAGCAGACUGAGCCCCACAGGCAGCAUCUGCAGUGCUGCUAUUCCAGCACAGCCAAGUGGGUAGUUAGAGGUGAGACUUACCAGGUGUCUUGUGACACCUGGACACCACCAGACAAGAGUUUAGUUACUUUUAAUGAUGUGGGGUGGGGGAGGGAGAGGAGGCUGUGUGGUGCCUGGUGUCAUAGAGUAACUGAAGCCGGGAACUUCAAAAUUUGCCACAGAAUCUGCUGGCUGAAUCAGAUGACAACCAGAAUUGAAUUACAUGGUCCCAUCUGUAGCUCGGAUACCCAUAUUCCAACUACUAUUUUGUGGUUUAUUAUUGACACUUCAAUUUUACAUAAAUGGCAUCUAACCUAAGUGUUACAGUGGCAGCCAUGCAAACUCCAGUCAUACCCACUCAGUCACGAGCUAAUUGAGCAGCUGGAGCAGGAGCACUCAACACAGCACCAGGUAAGUCAUGCCCUUAACACACCACCUGCCUAGUGGUUGGGGCAGGCAUCCUCAUGCUGAAGAUAGUGGUCAACUGGGAGUCUUUCAUGCAUCCACAUUGAGGCUGCAAAAGACGGUUCCUGUCUUCUUUCUGAUCAGCAGCUGUGUUCACCAAUGGGUUUCUAAAAUAAAUGUGCCUAAGCCAACCUGCCACAACUUGUGCUGGUGUCAGUGAUCUCUCAUCUGGACAUCACAUGGCUCAUCCUGCCAAGUAUUUCUUCUCUCUUAUCGUGGUCUGACCUACUCAUCGCACACUCUGGUAGAGACGCUCUUUUACUGCUAGUCUUGAUGGGACACCUCCAGUUUGGGUGGUUUUCUGUUCUGUUCUACCAGUUCUGUAGCUCAGGAGUUUGUUUCAUCCCUGUACUCAACUCCCCACUUUGCAUAUUUCUCUCUUGCAGACUUGAGGAAUCCUUGUCACGGGAAGAAAAGCACAGAAGGUGAUGUGCCUCUGGUCACCUGGUGAUUUACAAGGUCUCUUCUCUCAUUAUCAUUUCAGGGCAUGGAGGAGGGGAAGAAAGAGGCUGCUCUAACUGACAGGUUCUCCUUCUGGCAGCUAUGUGGGUGUGAUGGGGAUUGAAGGGAUGAAACCCAGCAACUGGCAAGGCUGCUGCAAGCUGUUUCUGAGGUGGCGACAAUCAUCACCUGGAAGGCAGCCCAUCUCAGAUCCACACUCCUCUUGCAGCCCAGGACAGCCCUGUGAUGGAGAAAGUCUUCUACAUGUUCUUUUAGGCUUUUGCAAGAGUCUCAUGAAGAAACUGCAACAUCUCAGCAAGAAACUGAUUUUGCAUCAGAUAUGAGAUACAGAUGCAGAUACUCAGAGAGCCUGUAAGCCCUGGGCUCCUGCCAACCCACAAGGAAUGAGUCUGGAGGGUACUGUUUGGGCAACCAUGGAACGCAAGAGAGUGUUCAGCUGUAGAUGCAAUAUGACUUGUCCCUGCAGUUUAUUUUAACAUGCUUAGAGGGUAAAUGAGUUUGGAAGUGUUGGAGAGAAUCAGAGAAUUAGCAGAAUGAAAUAUUAUGCAUUACUUAUAAAAAAAGAGAAAUAUAUCUACUGGUGCAACACUGUAUGUCUAGGGAUGAUGAUAGGUGCUGCUUUUGCAGAAGUGCCGGCUGGGAAAUAUUUAAAGAAGUUUUUUUCCCUCAGUAAGGAAGAGACCAAGAUAAAGAAAAUUCCCCCAGGUGAAGGUACUAGGGAAGGACUGGUCUAUAGCAGGGAAACUGAGGCAAUGGGUGCUGAGUGUCUGGCAGGAGAGGAGCUUAGAGUCUCAGUCCUGGCCAGUUUGGUCUAGAGGGCUAGGGUGUAUGUGGCUUAUCUGGUCACGUCAGCUAUCCCACCAGUGGGAGAGAGCCACAGUGGACCCCUCACAGUGUCCUCAGCUUAUAGGAACAAUACAGGACCUGGCACCAGGGGACUCUGAAAAUAUGUCAUGGAGGAAGUCAACACUGAAAGACUGUGAAAAAUAAAUGUACAGAGAUGUUUUUGAAUGUCUUUUAGCUUUCUGGAAGAAGAAGGCUGUCCUUAGCAAAUGGGAAACAGAACAGCUAAAAAGCUUUGGUGGGCAGAGAGGGAACACAGGGGAAGAUUUUAUUCCCUGGUUUAGCUGUUACUUGGCACAGAGAACUCCUGGGAUCACUUUCUCUGAGAGGCCAGUGACACAGCCAGCCAUAUUUGUAGCCCUCAGCUGGACAGCAAGAACACUGUAGGUGAGUCCAUACAAAGUCAUCCAGCUGUUACUGGAUGCAGCAUAAGAAUUACACUUACUGAGGUGAAAGUAGAUACAUCGAUCCACCUUGGGCAUGCAGUGCAUGAUUAGGAGCAUGUCAUCUUUCUCCAUAUUAGCAUGUUCUUAAUUAUGCUCAGGGGAGAGGAUCCUCAGCAAUAUAAAUUAGCAUCACAAGCCAAAUUAUACUGCAGCUGUGACAUUCCUACACUCUUCCCUCUAUUUUUAAAGGACAUGUUGUUUUUAACACUUGUUCCCAAAACAGGAGAUUAUUCAAACCAGUUUCCUGUUAUUGACAUCAGCACCAAACCCUGGGCCCACCCUGGAGGAGAGCAGGAGGACUCUAAACUGGGUUGUGUGUGACCCCUGUGGUGAUGGUAGAGAUGGCUGUGCCAGCCCUAAACACCCUGGUUUUUAGGUACCGUGUGGACAGCCACCACCUGUGUUUGACAGUGCACUUGUACUGGAAAUUCCCAGGCAUGUGGGACCUCCUACAGACUGAAAGGCAUUCUCUGGUCAUGGGGCUGGAGGCCUGGUAGUUCUUUGGUGUUGCAACCAGCCCUGAGAGGGUCCUGGGGGUGCCACUGAAAGGCACGGUGGAUGUGCUACGUGUGGGAGUUACAGUGCUCACACACACAUGCAUGUAUAAGCAGUAUUGGUCCCUCCUGUGAUAAAUGGCUCUAACUACAGCUUUGUAAAAUUUUGAAUUUCUGUUUUUCAGAACAGAACAAACUGGGGCAAAGAUUAGGAGAAAUUGUUUCCUGGAAUUAUAACAGUCAUGUUCAGAAAUGUUUCCCUGUUCUGUUUUGACAUUUUUUUGGA
This is a long non-coding RNA of Serinus canaria (Common canary), 8609 nucleotides long. RefSeq lists it as uncharacterized. The record is from RefSeq and is a predicted model, not a curated record. NCBI's taxonomy places the organism in Eukaryota, Metazoa, Chordata, Aves, Passeriformes, Fringillidae. The transcript has 3 exons.